This 250-nucleotide ribosomal RNA is filed under the name uncultured bacterium. Its description in RNAcentral is "partial 16S ribosomal RNA". It matches the Rfam family "Bacterial small subunit ribosomal RNA", at positions 524 to 775 of the family's 1533-position model. The record is from RNAcentral.
UGCAGAGGAUGAAAGCGUUAUCCGAAAUGAUUGGGUGUAAAGCGUCUGUAGGUCGCUUUCUAAGUCCGCCGUCAAAUCUCAGGGCUCAACUCUGGACAGGCGGAGGAAACUACCAAGCUGGAGUACGGUAGGGGCAGAGGGAAUUUCUGAUGGAGCGGUGAAAUGCGUAGAGAUUAGAAAGAAACACGCGAAAGCACUCUACUGGGCUACACUAACACUGGAGAGAUGAAAAGCUAGGGGGAGCGAAUGG